AUUGAACGCUGGCGGCAGGCCUAACACAUGCAAGUCGAGCGGUUGAGGUAGCUUGCUACCGAUGCAGCGGCGAACGGGUGAGCAAUACAUGGGAAUCUGCCUGGUAGUGGGGACAACGUUUCGAAAGGAACGCUAAUACCGCAUACGCCCUACGGGGAAAGGGGGGAUCGCAAGACCUCCCGCUAUCAGAUGAGCCCAUG
This 200-nucleotide ribosomal RNA is filed under the name uncultured bacterium. RNAcentral's name for it is "partial 16S ribosomal RNA". It matches the Rfam family "Bacterial small subunit ribosomal RNA", at positions 30 to 235 of the family's 1533-position model. The record is from RNAcentral.